Molecule: ribosomal RNA, 253 nt
Filed under: uncultured bacterium
Lineage: Bacteria
Description: partial 16S ribosomal RNA
Rfam family: Bacterial small subunit ribosomal RNA
Source: RNAcentral
AACGUAGGAGGCUAGCGUUAUCCGGAUUUACUGGGCGUAAAGCGCGUGCAGGCGGUCAUUCAAGUUGGGCGUGAAAUCUCUCGGCUCAACCGGGAGGGGUCGUCCAAUACUGGGUGACUUGAGGGCAGGAGAGGGAAGUGGAAUUCCCGGUGUAGCGGUAAUAUGCGCAGAUAUCGGGAGGAACACCAGUGGCGAAGGCGGCUUCCUGGCCUGUUUCUGACGCUAAGACGCGAAAGCUAGGGGAGCGAACGGG